UACAGAGGGUGCAAGCGUUGUUCGGAAUUAUUGGGCGUAAAGGGCGCGUAGGCGGUUCGGCAAGUCUCUAGUGAAAUCUCUGGGCUCAACUCAGAGUCUGCUGGGGAAACUGCCGGGCUUGAGUGUGGGAGAGGAGAGUGGAAUUCCCGGUGUAGUGGUGAAAUGCGUAGAUAUCGGGAGGAACACCAGUGGCGAAGGCGGCUACCUGGCCCACUCUUGACGCUGAGGCGCGAAAGCUAGGGGAGCAAACGGG
This 253-nucleotide ribosomal RNA is filed under the name uncultured bacterium. RNAcentral describes it as "partial 16S ribosomal RNA". It matches the Rfam family "Bacterial small subunit ribosomal RNA", at positions 524 to 776 of the family's 1533-position model. The record is from RNAcentral.